Long non-coding RNA from Dreissena polymorpha, 3364 nucleotides. RefSeq lists it as uncharacterized. The transcript is spliced from 3 exons. The record is from RefSeq and is a predicted model, not a curated record. Lineage: Eukaryota; Metazoa; Mollusca; Bivalvia; Myida; Dreissenidae.
GUUGGAUAAUGUUUAAUUUAUCAUUCAAGUUUUACAUAUGAUUCUGUUUAAACCAUAUUUAAUCGAUGUUUUGGUGAAUUUCGCGCAUGCUUAACUUGCCCGAUUUCGGACGUAAUUUACUUUCGGAUACAUGCUCCUCUUGUGUUUUUUUUCGAUGUUUUCUUAUGUAUGCAGAUUAAAAAAAAACAGCUCAUGCUUAAAUGUGUUAUUGAGCAAGUGACUUCUUAAUACUAUGGCAGGAAUAAAACACUGUUAUAAAAUUAUAAAAGAAGUUUAGUUACAUGUAUAAACUCACAGUCACAAGUGUGUAAGUAUUACUGUUACAUUUAUUUAUAUUUACUAAAAGUAAAUAUAUGCUCACAUAUCAGUAAGUAUUGUACAGCCCUAAAUUAUAUUUAAUACACCCAUCUAGGCAGUUAAUUCAUAUAUGUGCUGGCUUUAAUUUACAUUCAUGUUAUUAUCACCCUGCAAUAGGCGGAGGGAUAUUGUUUUGGCCUUGUCCGCCCGUCUUUCCGUCCAUCCGGCACUUUUGUGUUGGGAGCCAUAUCUUGGAAGUGCUUUGGUGGAUUUCAUUGAAACUUGGUAUGAGUAUAUGUAUAGAUAAGAGGAUGAUGCAUGCCAAAUGGCAUUGUACACUAUCUGUUAAUAACGGAGUUAUGGCCCUUCGAACCUAAAAAAAUGCUUUUUUACCUGAGUGUCAAAUAUAACACUUUUGUGUCCAGAAGCUAAUUAGCGGGGGAUAUCAAUUCAAUGAAUUUGCUUGUUAUUAAUUGAAGGGAAAUAAACCUGUUAUUUUGUCUGUCAUUAUGGUGUUUAAAGUCACAUUUAAUGGCAUCCAACCUACUUUAUUUCAAAUACAGUAACACCUGGCGCCGUGACCUGGAUGCAGAUUCUAAGCAGAUGGGCCAAAAUGGGGGCAGCUAGAGAGACUCGCCUGGAACUGACAAGCCUGGAGGGAGCUGGUUGACUGUUGGCGAGAUGGGACAACAGACGAAGAAUAAACGAACCUACUUGAUUUGAUAAACAUUUUUAUGUUUUUCAGUUUCGUCGGAAGACAUUUCCCACCAACCAUCCUGUCUUGAAAGAAAUAACUUUUGAACCCGAUUAUCUGUUUGGCAGACAAAACAUGCUGAUCAAAAAGAAUGUGUACCACAGGGGCCAGUGUUUCCAUUUGAGUGAUUGACAAGAAGAAGAAGAGAUGAAAAAUGUUAUCAUCAUAUUUUAGUCCCUACAUUUAUAGUGUACAGCUCAAUGUAUUGAACCGGUGUUGUAGAAUAUAAUUGUGAUACAUGCGAACAUUAUAACAUUAUAUAUAAGAUGAUAUUUCAAAAGCAAUAAGAAAUAAAAAGUAUAAAAAGGUCAAAACAGUAAACCUUGUGUUUACAGUGGACAGGUUUAAAGUGGAAGUGACUAGUUAACUGUUGAUCAUAAGCUGCACUGAUGGAAAAAAUAGUGGGAAAUUACUAUCUAGAAAACUGUUUAAUGUACGACAACAGUUGUGGAACUUCAUAAAUGACCGUAUGUAACAGGGCUGUGCAGUUUUCCUUAUAUAGCUAUAGUGAAACCUUUUGAACACUAGUGAAGUCACUGUUUUUUUUUCCAAUCUUCAUGCAUUUUGGUCGAAUAUUUGUUCAAAUGAUGGCUCAGUCGAGUUUCGAAAUUUUUAUGUCUAUUCAAAAAACAUAUCCACUAGAGCACGAGGCAAUUGUCUUUUUAUGGCUAUAAUGAAACCUUGUAAAUUCUCUAGAAGUGACAUUUUUAGCCAUAUCUCCAGAAAUUUUGGUCAGAAUAUUUAUUCUAAUGAUAGCUCAGUUGUCGAGUUUGUAACUGGUUCCGGUUUGUAGACUAACAUGGCUGCCAGUGGACAUGACAGUUUUUCUUAAAGUGCUAGAGUAGAACCUUGUUAACACACAAUUGGGCUUUUUUAUGUGCAUUUUUCAUGAAAGAUGAUCAGAGCAUUUGGCCCAAUGUAAUCUCAGCUGACUUUGAAACUGGAUCACAUAACGUCAAAAAGUGGGUCAAAAUGUCAAAUUAAAAAAAGCUUGUAAACACUGGAAGUUGCAUUUAAAAUUGUGUUCCUUUUUUAUGUCCCCCACUAUAGUAGUGGGGGACAUAUUGUUUUUGCCCUGUCUGUUGGUUGGUUGGUUUGCGCCAACUUUAACAUUUGCAAUAACUUUUGCAAUAUUGAAGAUAGGAACUUGAUAUUUUGCAUGCAUAUGUAUCUCAUGGAGCUGCACAUUUUGAGUGGUGAAAGGUCAAGGUCAUCCUUCAAGGUCAAAGGUCAAAUAUAUGGGUCAAAAUCGCUCAUUUAAUGUACACUUUUGCAGUAUUUCAAUAUUCAAGAUAGCAACUUGAUAUUUGGCAUGCAUGUGUAUCUCAUGGAGCUGCACAAUUUGAGUGGUGAAAGGUUAAGUUCAUCCUUCAAGGUCAGAUGUCAAAUAUAUGUGUCCAAAAUCGCUCAUAUUAUUAUACUUUUGCAAUAUUGAAGAUAGCAACUUGAUAUUUGGCAUGCAUGUGUAUCUCGUGGAUCUGCACAUUUUGAGUGGUGAAAGGUCAAGGUCAUCCUUCAAGGUCAGAGGUCAAAUAUAUGUGGCCCAAAUCGCUAAUUUUAUGAAUACUUUUUCUAUAUUGAAGAUAGCAACUUCAUAUUUGGCAUGCAUGUGUAUCUCAUGGAGCUGCACAUUUUUAGUGGUGAAAGGUCAAGAUCAUCCUUCAAGGUCAAAUAUAUGGGUCAAAUUUGAUCAUGUAAUGUCACUUCUGCAAUAUUGAAGCUAGCAAUUUUAUAUUUGAAAUGCAUGUGUAUCUCAUGGAGCUGCACAUUUUGAGUGGUGAAGGGUCAAGGUCAUCCUACAACGUCAAACGUCAUAUAGGGGGACAUUGUGUUUCACAAACACAUCUUGUUUAAAGUUUGUCAAAACAUUUGCUGUAAUGAUAAGCAAAGUCAAGUUUAUAAAUGAUUAUUUGCCUACAAAUUACAUAUCUUUCAUCAAGUUCAUUUAUUAUUCUAAACUACACCCUCUCAGAAUAGUUUAGUUACUUCUGGUCACAGUUGAGCACCUUAGGGCUCUUGUUCUAUAAUUUGAUUGUUUUGGAAAAUUGUCAUUUUGCCAAAAUGUGAGCAAGUCCAAAUUUAAUUAAUGUAUAAAGUGGAAAAUUAUCUAUGAAUCUGACUGCAUAGAUAUUUGGUAUUCAGCAAAGCAUCGUGUUAAUGUAGUAAAACUAAACACAAUUGUGUUAGCAUAAAACUGGCCAUGCCAUGGGGGUCAAAUGGUUAAUACAGACUUGUAGGAAAAAGACUUCUAAAAAUUUUAUCCAUUAAAUAUAUUUUGUGUACAUAAUGAUUAGCUUUUUCCUUCAACUUAUC